GAGUUUGAUCCUGGCUCAGAACGAACGCUGGCGGCGUGCCUAACACAUGCAAGUCGAACGGAUUUGAGGGGCUUGCUCCUCAAGUUAGUGGCGCACGGGUGAGUAACGCGUAGAUAAUCUGCCUGAUGAUYUGGGAUAACACUUCGAAAGGGGUGCUAAUACCGGAUAAGCCCACGGGGUCUUUGGAUUCUGCGGGAAAAGGGGGGGACUUUCGGGCCUUCUGUCAUCAGAUGAGUCUGCGUACCAUUAGCUAGUUGGUAGGGUAACGGCCUACCAAGGCGAUGACGGCUAGGGGGCGUGAGAGCGCGUUCCCCAACGUAAGGGACUGAGACACGGCCCUAACUCCUACGGGAGGCAGCAGUCGAGAAUAUUUCGCAAUGGGGGAAACCCUGACGAAGCGACACCGCGUGAAGGAAGAAGGCCCUCGGGUUGUAAACUUCUUUUGGCGGGGAACAAGCCGCAAGGCUGAGCGUACCCGCAGAAUAAGGCGCUGCUAACUUCGUGCCAGCAGCCGCGGUAAUAC
This 523-nucleotide ribosomal RNA is filed under the name uncultured Geobacteraceae bacterium. RNAcentral describes it as "bacterial SSU rRNA". It matches the Rfam family "Bacterial small subunit ribosomal RNA", at positions 9 to 526 of the family's 1533-position model. The record is from RNAcentral. Lineage: Bacteria; Pseudomonadati; Thermodesulfobacteriota; Desulfuromonadia; Geobacterales; Geobacteraceae.